GGAGGCGUGGAAAGGGAAACCAUAGAGAAGAUGAUACAUAGAUAGUCUCCACUGUGGCCUCUGACUCACUAGGUACAGAGGGAUAACCAUAGAGUAGGAUUGUCUAGUGGGACCUAGAGAGACUCAAGCUGUAAAUUACGACCCACCCUGCCAUUUUUGAUUGGAGACGAUUGAAUCUUAUGACUGUGCGACGCCAUCUUGAGGUCAAGGUUCCGGCUGAUUACCCGCGCGGGGCUUGUUACAGGUUUUCUCACUGUUUGGUAGUUCGUUUUCCAGGAAUUAGAACCUUGAUCUCCUGAUUCUUUGAGGUUCGAUGAACUGAUACCUGGGCGGGACCGAGAACCUCAAUAGAAAGCUCAAAUGUCAUUUGUCCUUCGAAAAGAGCUGCUCACAUCAAGAAAUAACUGGCAACGGCUAUAUUGGGUUUUUUGGACUUUUUGUGAGUACACUCACUACAACUUAGGCGAGGUAACAGGCUCAAAGAGGUUCCUUAUAAAAAGAUGAACACUACCUACUUCCCAAGACUACUGUAAGGAUUAAAUUAACCAAUAUAUGAAGGACAGAAGAUGGCAUUAGAUCCCUUGGAACUGGAGUUACAGAUGGUUGUGAGUCAUCUUGUGGACUCAGAACUGACCCAGGGUCCUCUGCAAAAACAGCAAAACAGCAAGUGCCCUCAACCAAGCCAUUUCUUUUUUUCUUUUUGUUUUUUUGUUUUGUUUUGUUUUGUUUUUUGUUCUUUGUUUUUCAAGACAGCAUUUCUCUGUGUAGUUCGGGCUGUCCUGAAACUCACUUUGUAGACCAGGCUGGACUUGAACUCAGAAAUAUGCCUGCCUCUGCCUCCCAAGUACUAGGAUUAAAGGCAUGCGCCACCACCGCCUAGCAAGCCAUUUCUUUAUUACUUGUAUGAUAUCACUUGUUUAACAAAAUGUUGGGGACUAGUGAGAUGGCACAGCAGAUAAAAGUGACAAGUUAAGUUCAGUCCCUGAAUUUACAUAGUAGGAAGGAAGACCAAACUUGCACAAGCUGAACAUUGCAGGAUACACUUAAGUGCACAAAUAUGCACACAUAUUAAGCUAUAAAUAAAUGUAAAAUAUAAUCACCAAGAACUAAGCCAGGUAGCGAUG
This is a long non-coding RNA of Apodemus sylvaticus (European woodmouse), 1124 nucleotides long. RefSeq lists it as uncharacterized. Lineage: Eukaryota; Metazoa; Chordata; Mammalia; Rodentia; Muridae. The transcript has 3 exons. The record is from RefSeq and is a predicted model, not a curated record.